RNAcentral lists this ribosomal RNA (784 nucleotides) under Pseudomonas aeruginosa. Its description in RNAcentral is "bacterial LSU rRNA". It matches the Rfam family "Bacterial large subunit ribosomal RNA", at positions 1095 to 1872 of the family's 2925-position model. The record is from RNAcentral. Lineage: Bacteria; Pseudomonadati; Pseudomonadota; Gammaproteobacteria; Pseudomonadales; Pseudomonadaceae.
AGGAGGUUGGCUUAGAAGCAGCCACCCUUUAAAGAAAGCGUAAUAGCUCACUGAUCGAGUCGUCCUGCGCGGAAGAUGUAACGGGGCUAAGCCAUAUACCGAAGCUGCGGAUGCGAGCUAGUCUCGCAUGGUAGGAGAGCGUUCCGUAAGCCUGCGAAGGUGCGUUGAAAAGCGUGCUGGAGGUAUCGGAAGUGCGAAUGCUGACAUGAGUAGCGAUAAAGGGGGUGAAAGGCCCCCUCGCCGUAAGCCCAAGGUUUCCUACGCAACGUUCAUCGGCGUAGGGUGAGUCGGCCCCUAAGGCGAGGCAGAAAUGCGUAGCUGAUGGGAAGCAGGUCAAUAUUCCUGCACCAUUGUUAGAUGCGAUGGGGGGACGGAUCGCGGAAGGUUGUCCGGGUGUUGGAAGUCCCGGUCGCUGCAUUGGAGAAGGCGCUUAGGCAAAUCCGGGCGCAGGAUUCAAGGGUGUGGCGCGAGCUCCUUCGGGAGCGAAGCAAUUGGAAGUGGUUCCAAGAAAAGCCUCUAAGCUUCAGUCUAACGAUGACCGUACCGCAAACCGACACAGGUGGGCGAGAUGAGUAUUCUAAGGCGCUUGAGAGAACUCGGGAGAAGGAACUCGGCAAAUUGGUACCGUAACUUCGGGAUAAGGUACGCCCUGGUAGCUUGACUGGCCUGCGCCAGAAGGGUGAAGGGGUUGCAAUAAACUGGUGGCUGCGACUGUUUAAUAAAAACACAGCACUCUGCAAACACGAAAGUGGACGUAUAGGGUGUGACGCCUGCCCGGUGCCGG